AACGAACGCUGGCGGCACGCCUAACACAUGCAAGUCGAACGAAGCAUAGGAGCUUGCUCCUAUGACUGAGUGGCGCACGGGUGAGUAACACGUGGGAAUCUGCCUAUUGGUGGGGAAUAACUUUUGGAAACGAAAGCUAAUACCGCAUAAGCCCUGAGGGGGAAAGAUUUAUCGCCAGUAGAUGAGCCCGCGCUAGAUUAGCUAGUUGGUGAGGUAAGAGCUCACCAAGGCUACGAUCUAUAGCUGGUCUGAGAGGAUGGUCAGCCACACUGGGACUGAGACACGGCCCAGACUCCUACGGGAGGCAGCAGUGGGGAAUAUUGGACAAUGGGGGAAACCCUGAUCCAGCGAUGCCGCGUGAGUGAAGAAGGCCUUCGGGUUGUAAAGCUCUUUCAGAGGGGAUGAUGAUGACGGUACCCUCAGAAGAAGCACCGGCUAACUUCGUGCCAGCAGCCGCCGUAA
RNAcentral lists this ribosomal RNA (462 nucleotides) under uncultured bacterium. RNAcentral describes it as "partial 16S ribosomal RNA". It matches the Rfam family "Bacterial small subunit ribosomal RNA", at positions 29 to 523 of the family's 1533-position model. The record is from RNAcentral.